UGGUAUUUCUAGAUCCUUACCAAGGCAGUAAUGGUGUAUGCCUUCUCUCAAAGUAUGUGGUAUGUUUGGUAUGAGGCAUAGUGACAUUGCCUUCUCUCUCACCCUACUCUAAUAUGGUUUUGAUAACUGGAGCUCAUAGGUGGGAGAAAGCUAAUACAUACUUACAAGACAUUUAUUGCAUAGUCAAACCAUGGAUCUAGAGAAACAAGUCAAUAAGUCAAAUCAAGAUGUGCAUGUGUGGCGAAUGAAUGGUGAUAAUGGUGAAAAUAAUGGUGAAAGUCUAAUUCUACCUUUGCUCUUUUAAGGGGGUACAUACCUUCCUUGCACUUGAGGCUUUUGAGGGGAAUGAGAUGGUCUAUAUUUUAUUUUUCUUUUCUCUCAGGUGGGUAUCUUGUACCCCUAAUUCUACUGUCAGACACUUAUCCAUUUUUACCUCUCGUCUCACUUUUCCUUUUCUUCGACGUUCCAGGCACUUGCCCCUUUUUAUUUCCUCGUAUUUUUCCUUUUUCUUCUCUUUUUUAGAGCACUCACCCUCGUGGAAUAAUGUAGCAAGUGGUAAUAACCAAAAUAUCAGGAGCAUACAGGAAGUCAUCAUGCAACAUUUUAAAGAUUUUCAAAGAUAAAAUUCUCUAGAAUUCUAGCAUCUCUAGGAACAGAUAAACAACAGCUCAACCUUCCCAUAUCGUAUGCGUUAACGACUUAGACUUUAGAUCAAGUACUCUUCCCACAAGUUUAGGUUUAGAGCAAAUCUUAAUUCAUAACAGUCAUGCCUAGACUUGAGAGAGAUUUCAAUUUUGAGAACUAGUCAUGGCAAAGCAACUAUUCAUCAUUUCCAUGUGAGAGCUUAUCAUGAGGGUUCAUAGCAAACUUUAUUUAUUUAUUUAUUUAGCAAACUAAGCAA
This 901-nucleotide long non-coding RNA is filed under the name Sorghum bicolor (sorghum). RNAcentral describes it as "long non-coding RNA (SBIC_LNC003062)". The record is from RNAcentral. Lineage: Eukaryota; Viridiplantae; Streptophyta; Magnoliopsida; Poales; Poaceae.